This 706-nucleotide ribosomal RNA is filed under the name Salmonella enterica subsp. enterica serovar Virchow. RNAcentral's name for it is "bacterial SSU rRNA". It matches the Rfam family "Bacterial small subunit ribosomal RNA", at positions 839 to 1533 of the family's 1533-position model. The record is from RNAcentral. Lineage: Bacteria; Pseudomonadati; Pseudomonadota; Gammaproteobacteria; Enterobacterales; Enterobacteriaceae.
GUGGCUUCCGGAGCUAACGCGUUAAGUAGACCGCCUGGGGAGUACGGCCGCAAGGUUAAAACUCAAAUGAAUUGACGGGGGCCCGCACAAGCGGUGGAGCAUGUGGUUUAAUUCGAUGCAACGCGAAGAACCUUACCUGGUCUUGACAUCCACAGAACUUUCCAGAGAUGGAUUGGUGCCUUCGGGAACUGUGAGACAGGUGCUGCAUGGCUGUCGUCAGCUCGUGUUGUGAAAUGUUGGGUUAAGUCCCGCAACGAGCGCAACCCUUAUCCUUUGUUGCCAGCGAUUAGGUCGGGAACUCAAAGGAGACUGCCAGUGAUAAACUGGAGGAAGGUGGGGAUGACGUCAAGUCAUCAUGGCCCUUACGACCAGGGCUACACACGUGCUACAAUGGCGCAUACAAAGAGAAGCGACCUCGCGAGAGCAAGCGGACCUCAUAAAGUGCGUCGUAGUCCGGAUUGGAGUCUGCAACUCGACUCCAUGAAGUCGGAAUCGCUAGUAAUCGUGGAUCAGAAUGCCACGGUGAAUACGUUCCCGGGCCUUGUACACACCGCCCGUCACACCAUGGGAGUGGGUUGCAAAAGAAGUAGGUAGCUUAACCUUCGGGAGGGCGCUUACCACUUUGUGAUUCAUGACUGGGGUGAAGUCGUAACAAGGUAACCGUAGGGGAACCUGCGGUUGGAUCACCUCCUUACCUUAAAGAAGC